This 168-nucleotide small nuclear RNA is filed under the name Suricata suricatta (meerkat). RNAcentral describes it as "U2 spliceosomal RNA (ENSSSUG00005001664.1)". It matches the Rfam family "U2 spliceosomal RNA". From Rfam's summary of the family: U2 is a small nuclear RNA (snRNA) component of the spliceosome (involved in pre-mRNA splicing). Lineage: Eukaryota; Metazoa; Chordata; Mammalia; Carnivora; Herpestidae. The record is from Rfam by way of RNAcentral.
AUCGCUUCUCGGCCUUUUGGCUAAGAUCGAGUGUAGUAUCCUACUGACCUUAGUAAUCUCAAAUAAAUAUGUAUUAUUUAAAGACAGGUUUUUCAGGCUUAGCCAAAUAGUUGUUGGUUUUCAUGGUAACGUUAAUUUGCUCCAGAGGUAGCAUAUUAUCAGCAUGGU